Molecule: ribosomal RNA, 255 nt
Filed under: Crangonyx sp. 1 TRS-2023a
Lineage: Eukaryota; Metazoa; Arthropoda; Malacostraca; Amphipoda; Crangonyctidae
Description: partial large subunit ribosomal RNA
Source: RNAcentral
UUUUUUUAAAAAAAAGUUAAAUUUAUAGUUUAAGUAAGAAUACUUAAAUAAUAAAAAGGGACGAUAAGACCCUGAAAGCUUGAUGCUAUGUUUUGUUAAUUUAGUUUUUGUUAUAAAAAUAAAAAUUUGUAAUUAGCUGGGGAAGUUUUUAUAUAAAAUCUGUAAUUUUAUUGUACUUAGGUUUUAUGAUCCGCUAGAUAGUGAUAAGUAGAGUGAGUUACUUCAGGGAUAACAGCAUAAUAAUUUUGUAGAGUU